GUAGUCAUAUGCUUGUCUCAAAGAUUAAGCCAUGCAUGUCUAAGUAUAAGCAAUUAUACCGCGAAACUGCGAAUGGCUCAUUAAAUCAGUUAUCGUUUAUUUGAUAGUACCUUACUACAUGGAUAACCGUGGUAAUUCUAGAGCUAAUACAUGCUAAAAAUCCCGACUUCGGAAGGGAUGUAUUUAUUAGAUUAAAAACCAAUGCCCUUCGGGGCUCUCUGGUGAUUCAUAAUAACUUCUCGAAUCGCACGGCCUUGCGCCGGCGAUGGUUCAUUCAAAUUUCUGCCCUAUCAACUUUCGACGGCUGGGUCUUGGCCAGCCGUGGUGACAACGGGUAACGGGGAAU
This 346-nucleotide ribosomal RNA is filed under the name Chaetomium globosum. RNAcentral's name for it is "SSU rRNA". It matches the Rfam family "Eukaryotic small subunit ribosomal RNA", at positions 20 to 370 of the family's 1831-position model. Lineage: Eukaryota; Fungi; Ascomycota; Sordariomycetes; Sordariales; Chaetomiaceae. RNAcentral also lists the same sequence under 1 other name. The record is from RNAcentral.